This 253-nucleotide ribosomal RNA is filed under the name uncultured bacterium. Its description in RNAcentral is "partial 16S ribosomal RNA". It matches the Rfam family "Bacterial small subunit ribosomal RNA", at positions 524 to 776 of the family's 1533-position model. The record is from RNAcentral.
UACGUAGGGGGCAAGCGUUAUCCGGAUUUACUGGGUGUAAAGGGGGCGCAGACGGCGAUGCAAGCCAGGAGUGAAAGCCCGGGGCCCAACCCCGGGACUGCUCUUGGAACUGCGUGGCUGGAGUGCAGGAGGGGCAGGCGGAAUUCCUGGUGUAGCGGUGAAAUGCGUAGAUAUCAGGAGGAACACCGGUGGCGAAGGCAGCUUACCAGACUGCGACUGACGCUGAAGCACGAGAGCGUGGGUAGCGAACAGG